AGUAUUUGUUUGUUUCUAGCGUUUAAAAGGUAGUUGAAUUACAAAAGUUAACCUCCCGAAAAUGGCUGAAAUACAGACGUACCUGUAUGGAAAGAAGUUUCCAAACAGAAUUUUUGUUGGAAGUCUUCCUCUAAAUACCAGCGCAGCUGAACUGGCAGAGUUCUUUGGUGUGUUCGGACACGUCACCGAAACAA
This is a long non-coding RNA of Xenia sp. Carnegie-2017, 194 nucleotides long. RefSeq lists it as uncharacterized. The transcript has 3 exons. NCBI's taxonomy places the organism in Eukaryota, Metazoa, Cnidaria, Anthozoa, Malacalcyonacea, Xeniidae. The record is from RefSeq and is a predicted model, not a curated record.